UGCAGUCGAACGGCAGCAUAGGUGCUUGCACCUGAUGGCGAGUGGCGAACGGGUGAGUAAUGCAUCGGAACGUGCCCAAUCGUGGGGGAUAACGCAGCGAAAGCUGUGCUAAUACCGCAUACGAUCUACGGAUGAAAGCGGGGGACCUUCGGGCCUCGCGCGAUUGGAGCGGCCGAUGUUAGAUUAGGUAGUUGGUGGGGUAAAGGCUCACCAAGCCGACGAUCUAUAGCUGGUCUGAGAGGACGACCAGCCACACUGGAACUGAGACACGGUCCAGACUCCUACGGGAGGCAGCAGUGGGGAAUUUUGGACAAUGGGCGAAAGCCUGAUCCAGCAAUACCGCGUGCAGGAAGAAGGCCUUCGGGUUGUAAACUGCUUUUGUACGGAACGAAAAGGCUCUUUCUAAUAAAGAGGGCUCAUGACGGUACCGUAAGAAUAAGCACCGGCUAACUACGUGCCAGCAGCCGCGGUAAUACGUAGGGUGCAAGCGUUAAUCGGAAUUACUGGGCGUAAAGCGUGCGCAGGCGGUUUUGUAAGACAGGCGUGAAAUCCCCCGGGCUCAACCUG
This 567-nucleotide ribosomal RNA is filed under the name uncultured bacterium. RNAcentral describes it as "bacterial SSU rRNA". It matches the Rfam family "Bacterial small subunit ribosomal RNA", at positions 56 to 616 of the family's 1533-position model. The record is from RNAcentral.